UGCUUAGGGCUACACACGUGCUACAAUGGGUAGUACAGAGGGUUGCCAAGCCGUAAGGUGGAGCUAAUCCCUUAAAGCUACUCUCAGUUCGGAUUGUAGGCUGAAACUCGCCUACAUGAAGCUGGAGUUACUAGUAAUCGCAGAUCAGAAUGCUGCGGUGAAUGCGUUCCCGGGUCUUGUACACACCGCCCGUCACACCACGGGAGUUGGAGACGCCCGAAGCCGAUUAUCUAACCUUUUGGAAGAAGUCGUCGAAGGUGGAAUCAAUAACUGGGGUGAAGUCGUAACAAGGUAGCCGUAUCGGAAGGUGCGGCUGGAUCACCUCCUUUCUAAGGAGA
This 338-nucleotide ribosomal RNA is filed under the name Clostridioides difficile. Its description in RNAcentral is "bacterial SSU rRNA". It matches the Rfam family "Bacterial small subunit ribosomal RNA", at positions 1205 to 1533 of the family's 1533-position model. Lineage: Bacteria; Bacillati; Bacillota; Clostridia; Peptostreptococcales; Peptostreptococcaceae. The record is from RNAcentral.